CAUGCGCCACAAGUGGUAUCCAUGUUUAUUGGGCCUAAAGCAUCCGUAGCCGGCGCUGUAAGUUUUCGGUUAAAUCUGUACGCUCAACGUACAGGCUGCCGGGAAUACUGCAGCGCUAGGGAGUGGGAGAGGUAGACGGUACUCGGUAGGAAGGGGUAAAAUCCUUUGAUCUAUUGAUGACCACCUGUGGCGAAGGCGGUCUACCAGAACACGUCCGACGGUGAGGGAUGAAAGCUGGGGGAGCAAACCGGAUUAGAUACCCGAGUAGUCC
This 271-nucleotide ribosomal RNA is filed under the name uncultured archaeon. RNAcentral describes it as "partial 16S ribosomal RNA". It matches the Rfam family "Archaeal small subunit ribosomal RNA", at positions 476 to 747 of the family's 1478-position model. The record is from RNAcentral.